UAGGUAGUUUCGUGUUGUUGGG
Molecule: microRNA, 22 nt
Filed under: Cricetulus griseus (Chinese hamster)
Lineage: Eukaryota; Metazoa; Chordata; Mammalia; Rodentia; Cricetidae
Also listed under: 1 other name
Description: cgr-miR-196c
Gene: cgr-miR-196c
Source: miRBase by way of RNAcentral